Molecule: long non-coding RNA, 484 nt
Organism: Polypterus senegalus (gray bichir)
Lineage: Eukaryota; Metazoa; Chordata; Cladistia; Polypteriformes; Polypteridae
Exons: 3
Source: RefSeq, a predicted model, not a curated record
CGGAAGAACUGGUUACUGAAUCUCUACUCUAACCAAAUUCACCUGCUGCUGUACCCUGAGGCAAAAAGCAAAACUUUAAACAAAUAAAGAUGACAUCUCUCUCUGGAUUGGAUAAAAGGUGAUUGGACAGAACGUUGUAGAAAAACAAACUCGACUAAAUAAAACACCAGAAUUCACAAGCUGCGCCGAGAAGGAUCAUCAUAACAGUUUUAGUCUUCAAUUUAUAGCUUUGUACUAGUAAGAAAUAAAGUAGGAAAUUUUGUGGCUGAUACCUGCUGAAGACUGCUUGCUAAAUACACAUCAGAAAAAUGCAGAAUUAUAACACCAAGAUGAAAGAACUUGCAAAAACUGGAAAAAUAGAGAUAAAAGGUAUUACCCGAAAGUGUGGAAACAUUUACUGGCAGAAGCAGCUAAAGAACAAAGAGAAAAUAAAAGGAGAAAAUCCUGUAAGAAAAAAAUCCCAACAAAAAUAAGCGGACCAAAA